GAGUGCAAGGUGACUGGGGGUGUGGGCCUGCAGGCACCAGGCUGGACCUGCCUUGGGGGCUCGCUGGUCAUGGGGCGCUGGCCUCUCAGCCCUGGGCAAAGAGAAGGUGUGGCUGGGACACAGGCAGCUGGGUGGGCACCGCCCCAGCCCCAUCCCCAUGCCUAGAGCCUGGUGCCAGUGCCCACACAAGGAACAUGCUGUCCUGGGAGGUGCCCCUGUGGGCUGAGGAGAGCCACACAGCCAUGUUGUAUCCAGCCGGGUCGCCUCCCCUGACCUUGGGAGUCACAGCAGAGUAGGCAGGGCAGUGAGGGUGGCGAGGUGCGGUGGGGCCCACCCUGGUGGCACCAUGCCCACCACAGCCCCGCUGACCUGCAGAGCUGGAUGGCCUUGCUGCGCAGGGAGAUUGGCCACUUCCACGAAAAGAAAGACCUGCCCUUGGACACCAGCGACUCCAGCUCGGACACAGACAGCUUCUACGGCGCAGUCGAGCGGCCUGUGGAUAUCAGCCUCUCCCCGUACCCCACGGACAAUGAAGACUAUGAGCACGACGACGAGGAUGACUCCUACAUGGAGCCCGACUCCCCGGAGCCCGGAAGGCUUGAGGAUGCCCUGAUGCACCCACCGGCUUACCCACCACCCCCAGUGCCCACGCCCAGGAAGCCAGCCUUCUCCGACAUGCCCCGGGCCCACUCCUUUACCUCCAAGGGCCCCGGUCCCCUGCUGCCACCCCCGCCCCCUAAGCACGGCCUCCCAGAUGUUGGCCUGGCUGCCGAGGACUCCAAGAGGGACCCCCUGUGCCCGAGGCGGGCUGAGCCUUGCCCCAGGGUACCUGCUACCCCCCGAAGGAUGAGUGAUCCCCCUCUGAGCACCAUGCCCACCGCACCCGGCCUACGGAAACCCCCUUGCUUCCGGGAGAG
RNAcentral lists this small RNA (917 nucleotides) under Pongo abelii (Sumatran orangutan). RNAcentral's name for it is "retained intron". Lineage: Eukaryota; Metazoa; Chordata; Mammalia; Primates; Hominidae. The record is from RNAcentral.